GGGCCGUUAGCUCAGUCUGGCAGAGCAGGGGCCUUUUAAGCCCUUUGUCGCAGGUUCGAAUCCUGCACGGCUCA
Molecule: transfer RNA, 74 nt
Filed under: Ardenticatenales bacterium
Lineage: Bacteria; Bacillati; Chloroflexota; Ardenticatenia; Ardenticatenales
Description: tRNA-Lys
Rfam family: tRNA
About the family: Transfer RNA (tRNA) molecules are approximately 80 nucleotides in length.
Source: RNAcentral